This 69-nucleotide transfer RNA is filed under the name Marmota marmota marmota (Alpine marmot). It matches the Rfam family "tRNA". From Rfam's summary of the family: Transfer RNA (tRNA) molecules are approximately 80 nucleotides in length. The record is from Rfam by way of RNAcentral. Lineage: Eukaryota; Metazoa; Chordata; Mammalia; Rodentia; Sciuridae. RNAcentral also lists the same sequence under 1 other name.
GGGGCUGUGGCUCAGUAGUAGAGCACUUGCCUAGCAUGUGUGAGGCUCUGGGUUCAAUUCUCAGCACCA